Molecule: ribosomal RNA, 253 nt
Filed under: uncultured bacterium
Lineage: Bacteria
Description: partial 16S ribosomal RNA
Rfam family: Bacterial small subunit ribosomal RNA
Source: RNAcentral
UACGGAGGGUGCUAGCGUUGUUCGGAAUCACUGGGCGUAAAGGGCGUGUAGGCGGUCUGCUAAGUCAUGUGUGAAAUCCCUCGGCUUAACCGAGGAACGACGCAUGAAACUGGCAAGCUAGAGUACCAAAGAGGGGGGUGGAAUUCCCGGUGUAGCGGUGAAAUGCGUAAAUAUCGGGAGGAACACCGGUGGCGAAGGCGGCCCCCUGGUUGGAUACUGACGCUGAGACGCGAAAGCGUGGGGAGCAAACAGG